UACAGAGGGUGCAAGCGUUAAUCGGAAUUACUGGGCGUAAAGGGCGCGUAGGCGGCCUUCUAAGUCGGACGUGAAAUCCCUCGGCUUAACCGAGGAACUGCGUCCGAUACUGAAAGGCUUGAAUCCGGGAGAGGGAUGUGGAAUUCCAGGUGUAGCGGUGAAAUGCGUAGAUAUCUGGAGGAACACCGGUGGCGAAGGCGGCAUCCUGGACCGGCAUUGACGCUGAGGCGCGAAAGCUAGGGGAGCAAACGGG
This 253-nucleotide ribosomal RNA is filed under the name uncultured bacterium. Its description in RNAcentral is "partial 16S ribosomal RNA". It matches the Rfam family "Bacterial small subunit ribosomal RNA", at positions 524 to 776 of the family's 1533-position model. The record is from RNAcentral.